This 1389-nucleotide ribosomal RNA is filed under the name uncultured bacterium. RNAcentral's name for it is "16S ribosomal RNA". It matches the Rfam family "Bacterial small subunit ribosomal RNA". The record is from RNAcentral.
UUGAUCCUGGGCUCAGAACGAACGUUGGCGGCGUGGAUUAGGCAUGCAAGUCGCACGAAUCCCGGGGCAACUCGGGGGAAGUGGCGAAAGUGGGCAGUAAGUGCAUGGGCAACUUGCCCCGGGGACCGGCAUAGCCUUCCUAACGGAAGGGUAAUUCCGGGCAACGUGCAGGAGUCGCAUGGCUCCCGCACCAGAUGGAUUCCGCCCCGGGAGAGGCUCAUGUGCUAUUAGCUUGUUGGCGGGGUAAUGGCCCACCAAGGCAACGAUGGCUAGCAGGUGUGAGAGCACGACCUGCGCCACUGGCACUGAGACACUGGCCAGACUCCUACGGGAGGCUGCAGUCGAGGAUCUUCGGCAAUGGGCGCAAGCCUGACCGAGCGACGCCGCGUGCGCGAUGAAGGCCUUCGGGUUGUAAAGCGCUGUCGAGGGGGAGGAAGCCGAAAGGUUGACCUAUCCCUGGAGGAAGCACGGGCUAAGUUCGUGCCAGCAGCCGCGGUAAGACGAACCGUGCAAACGUUGUUCGGAAUCACUGGGCAUAAAGGGCGCGUAGGCGGCCCGACAAGUCUGUGGUGAAAGCCUCCCGCUUAACGGGAGAAGGGCCGUGGAUACUGUCGGGCUCGAGGGAGACAGGGGCAGGUGGAACUUCCGGUGGAGCGGUGAAAUGCGUUGAGAUCGGAAGGAACUCCGGUGGCGAAAGCGACCUGCUGGAUCUCUGCUGACGCUGAGGCGCGAAAGCCAGGGGAGCAAACGGGAUUAGAUACCCCGGUAGUCCUGGCCCUAAACGAUGGGUACUGAGUAGCGGACUGGACAUGGGUUCGCUGCUGGAGCAAAUGUGGUAAGUACCCCGCCUGGGGAGUAUGGUCGCAAGGCUGAAACUCAAAGGAAUUGACGGGGGCUCACACAAGCGGUGGAGCAUGUGGCUUAGUUCGAGGCUACGCGAAGAACCUUAUCCUGGGCUUGACAUGUGCGAAAGCGGUCGGGAGUAGGGGGGAGAGAUCUUUCCCGAACGGUACCCAGUCCGGAACCGACUACAGGUGCUGCAUGGCUGUCGUCAGCUCGUGUCGUGAGAUGUCGGGUUAAGUCCCAUAACGAGCGAAACCCCUGUUUCCAGUUGCCAGCGCGUCAUGGCGGGGACUCUGGAAAGACCGCCGGUGUUAAACCGGAGGAAGGUGGGGAUGACGUCAAGUCCUCAUGGCCUUUAUGCCCAGGGCUGCACACGUGCUACAAUGGCCGCUACAGAGGGAAGCCAACCCGCGAGGGGGAGCCAAUCUCAGAAAAGCGGCCCCAGUUCAGAUUGCAGGCUGCAACUCGCCUGCAUGAAGUUGGAAUCGCUAGUAGUCGCGGAUCAGCACGCCGCGGUGAUACGUUCCCGGGCAUUGUACACACCGC